GACAGAGGGUGCAAACGUUGUUCGGAAUUACUGGGCCUAAAGCGCACGUAGGUGGUCCGCUAAGUCGCGUGUGAAAUCCCCCGGCUCAACCGGGGAAAUGCGCGUGAUACUGGCGGGCUUGAGAUCGGGAGGGGUGAAUGGAACUCCAGGUGGAGCGGUGAAAUGCGCAGAUAUCAGGAGGAACACCGAUGGCGAAGGCAGCUCGCUGGGACGUGACUGACGCUGAGACGCGAAAGCGUGGGGAGCAAACAGG
Molecule: ribosomal RNA, 253 nt
Filed under: uncultured bacterium
Lineage: Bacteria
Description: partial 16S ribosomal RNA
Rfam family: Bacterial small subunit ribosomal RNA
Source: RNAcentral